Molecule: non-coding RNA, 24 nt
Filed under: Drosophila melanogaster (fruit fly)
Lineage: Eukaryota; Metazoa; Arthropoda; Insecta; Diptera; Drosophilidae
Also listed under: 3 other names
Source: RNAcentral
GCCUUUUACUAAAGAUUUCCGUGG